Long non-coding RNA from Gasterosteus aculeatus aculeatus (three-spined stickleback), 1275 nucleotides. The record is from Ensembl. Lineage: Eukaryota; Metazoa; Chordata; Actinopteri; Perciformes; Gasterosteidae.
GACACGUGGCUGUUGUUUUAUGGUUUGACCUCAGGGGGUAAUUCUAGUGUUUAGUUGCCUGGUGUCAAAGAUCUGUUUCUGGGUUUGCCUCUGGUAAGUUAUGGUUUAAGUAAAAAAAGAAAACAAAAGAAAAAAAAUAUAUAUUGGAUUUAUUUUGUAUUUUUUACUGUAUUGUAUCCUCCUAUAUUUAUGUCUUUGUAAAGCUUCUACAAUAUCUAAAUCGGUGAAUGUUGGUACGACGCGAUGGAGAAAAACAAAGUCAUAGCAUUUGAUAAGCUGAACAAAUCAGACGGAGGGGUGAUAUAUAUUUUUUUGUUUUUUGUUUUUCACAAUGAGGUUUUGGUGCAAAAUGUCACUUGCCGUUGUAUUUUGAGAACCGAUUUGUACGACUGGUGAUUGUUCCUCUAACGUAGGCGACGGGGUUUAGUCCAUCAUGUUUUGAACACAGGUUAUUAAACGCAGUAACAUUUACAUUAACUUGUGAUGCUAAGGGAGGAGCAAAACGGAGCCAUCGGGAGUAUAAAACUUAAGAAAUCCCCAGAAGAAGAUUGUCAUUUCUGUUCACAAAACCCCGGCUUUAGUAAAAAGAGCAUGGGUAUAGAUAGAAUGGUUUACGAGCAUGCGAAACGAGCCUUGAAUGUUUUAUCUCUGGGGGCCACUUUAGUCAGGAUGGACACGGUUGGUGAACGUGGAGCCGUCGCAUCCUGCCCGUCUCUCAUCCACAGCAGCCUCACUAGCAUGGACCUACCAGUGCAGCCUUGCAUCCGGAUAUGAAUAAGAACACUUUACUAAAGACCUUUUGUUAUUUUUGUUAACCGUUGGUCAUUUAAUGUUCCUUUUUUUAAAGUUCUCGUGAUUGAAUUCUGGCCUUUUACACGCUGUCGGCCCGGCUGCCCCAUUAAAGCAACGGUGUUCCCAUCACGGCCGAGCUACAGGUUCCAUGUGGCGUCUUCUUUGCUCGACUUGGUGAACAAAUGAAAGUUCUCCCAGCUAAUCGUCACUGCUCAGAGGUGAUGUUAUUUCACAAAGAUUAUAUAGACCAAACGUCUGAUGUUAACGCUAAAUGCACAAAGCAUUGUUGCCCAUCAUAUUACCCAAAGAGACCAACCGUGAAAUACUAUUGGACAUCUUCAAGUAGUGUAAAGUUUACUGGGGACAGAACUGAAUCUUCUUGGAUUAUUUGUAAUGCGUGGAAUGUCACCGUUACUCAAGUGAACAAUCUAAAUAUAAAUAUCAGACACACGGCAUAUUAUUUAGUAGUUUUCAGCUGCUCGG